This 3325-nucleotide long non-coding RNA is filed under the name Sus scrofa (pig). RNAcentral describes it as "lncRNA (ENSSSCG00015075287.1)". Lineage: Eukaryota; Metazoa; Chordata; Mammalia; Artiodactyla; Suidae. The record is from RNAcentral.
UUUUUUUUUUUUUUUUUUCGGUCUUUUAGGGCCACACCUGUGGCAUAUGGAGACAAAACAAAAGCAUACAUCCAUCACCAAUUUGUCACCUGGUCUCUUGUGUGGUGCAACAUAAAACUAAUUAUCUUGAGUUGUAAUAUCAUGGAGAUAAAAACAGAACCUCACACAAAAAUCCCUUUGAUAAGGAUGUUUUCAAUAUACCCAUACAACCAAAACUUCCCUGUGUGUUUGCUGCCUCAAGGUCAGAAGGCAGGAAAAUGAGGAAGGUAGCUUUGCUGUGACAACAAAUUGAAAUUACAAUGGAGUGAUCACAGUUCAAGUGUAUAAAAAUGAAGUCAGGCAGCCACUAAGGAUCUGGUCUCACACAGGUCUCUCCUCCAUGAGAACCUGAACUUUCUUUGAACUGAACCAGAUCCAAGGAUACCACUAAUCAUAUUUAGAACAAACAGCACCUCCCAGCUGCAACCUUACGGUCUCCCACCUUGUAACUAUGCAACCAUUUUGGAUCCCAUGGGUCCUUGCUUAACAAGCACACUUCCUUCUUGCCAGUCAAUUUCUGAAGAACAAUUUAUGUAACUUCACAGGUGUUCUGUGUUUAUAAGCAACCCCCUAUUUUGUAGGCUGGCAGAACAUAAUUCAAGCGCUUCUUGAAUCUGUCUCUCCUGGGCAGUCCUUACAAACCUCAAAGGAAUACAUUAAAUUUCAAUCAGGUCUCUGUUUCUGAAAAUUUGGUUAACAUAUGCUGAUCAAGUAGAAGGUUUAUAUACCAUCUUACUCCAAAACAGAUGUCAGCUGACUUCACACAUGGAACAUAAUAACCUAUAAUAAAGCAAAAAUAAAAGAAGGGAUGGAAGGUAGAGAAGAUAUGAGAGCUUGGAUACAAAUUCCUGGUCUCCCCUCUUUCAGGGCCCUGAGUGAGAGUGUGUGUUUCAUUUUAAAUUUUUUUAGGGGAGUAGGGGUGAGGGGAAGCAGAGGGAUUUUUGGACAAAGAAAGCACGAAGAGGAACUCCAAAGUUCAGGUAGGUAGAGAGAGCAUUUGAUGAUCCAUUGUUGGGGGUGGGAAUGGGGUUUAUAAAAUGGCCAAGACUUCACUGCUGGGAAGGAAACCCGAGACUCUAGAAACUGGGUCAAAGGCAGCAUCCCCUCAGCUGCUGAGGGGAGCUGGCCAGCCUGGCCGAGUGACACUCCUCAGUGCAUUGGGAGGAAGGGUGUCUACCUGCCCACCUCCACAGUCUGAGGGGUGGCCGUGAACUCAGCUGAUGCAAGGGUGCUGUUCUGCAGCUACGAGGCAGACUAUAGGCAGGUACAGUUGUCCAGACUGCCAGGCAUGCGUGUAACUUCAUUUUUCAGCCUGGCUUCCUAGGAGUUGAAAGGUUAUUGUUCAGCCAGUGGUUGGGUCACAGGCUGUAUCAAAGCCCCUGUCCCAGGGAGGCCUGCACCAUCUGCUGAUGGAUCUGCAUGCAGCUUGGGGAAGAUGCUCAAGUCUGGUCUGCAUGCUGGUCAGGUUGCUCGUGAGUGAGGCUGGCCUAGUCCACUGACCAUAGCCUGGACAGCGAUUCCAGGAGGAUCCUUCUUAGCUGUUUCCUUGACUGACAUUCUGUUGUGCUCUUAACAUCCUGGAGCUGAGUGCCCUCUUAAUUGUUCUCCACCAAGAUCUUCAUUGUUUCUGACAAAGCCCGUAAGUGUGGGAUUCUCUUCUGUUCUGAAUAGAGUCAGCCCCCUCAGCCAGAGCUGCAGACCCCGGGACAGGAUCUCUGUGCCCCUGCACAAGCUGAAGCUAGGGUGGGUGCUGACCCACUUGUCCCAGUGUGAGCCUUGAGCCCCCCAAAUAGCAGCUGGCCCUCCCUGGAGGAUGGGCAGCUAGGGGAACACUGGGCCCUCUGUUCUGCUAGGGCCACACCUGGGGUAGAGCUUAUCCCCUGCAAGCGUGGGAGCAGUGAGGAAGGGAGGUCCUGUCCUCUCUAGUUAGACUGUUAGUCUAGAAUAGGACCUUGCAAUAAACACAGGCUGGAGGGUUGUGCUGAGCUCAGAUGAAGACAGCUUCAAGCAGGAGCCUGGGAGGGUGCCUGCCUCUCAGAGCCCCAGGAGCUUUCUUGAGACAGAGGGGAAGAGAGUGGAUGCGGCUCAAAUGCCUGCUGUUUGGACCAAGAUUUAGUAGGUUUUCUUUUCUUUUCUCUUUCCUCUCCUUUCCUUUUCCCUCCUCCCCUCCCUUCCUGUCUGUCUUUUUAGGGCUGCAACCAAGGCAUAUGGAGUUUCCCAGGCUAGGGGUAGAAUCAGAGAUGUAGCUGCAGGCCUACACCACAGCCACAGCAAUGCCAGAUCCUAGCCGCUCCUGUGACCUACACCAUAGCUCACGGCUAUGCCGGAACCAUAACCCACUAAGCAAGGCUAGGGAUUGAACCAGCAUCCUCAUGGAUACUACUCAGAUUCACUUCCAAAGAGCUAUGAUGGGAAUUCCCAGAUUUUCUUGAAUGAAUGAAUGAUUCUCCAUUUGCUGGAUACCCUUAGAACAUUUUUUUUUAGAAAUGUUAAAUGAUUGUUUUAGAAUCUUCUCCAGUUAAAUGGUUGUUAGUUGGGCAGAGAGUUCAUUCUGGAAAUCAGUCUUCCAAGCUUAAAAGCUUCGGUAAACACAAGAGAAGGAGAUUUUGGUACACCUGUAUGAGGCAGGUGUCCAAACUAUAUACUUAACUCAUAAAGUUUCAUUAUUUUGAGCUGAUUUCUACCCACUUGCCAUGUAGGUAUUGUUUAUUUCACAGAUAAGGUCAUGGAUUCAACAGUCAUGGAAAAUCCUUGGAGCUACUGUGCCAGCAGUUUAGAGCAGGUGCAGAUACAGAGAUCUGACACCAAAAUCUAUGCUCUAAGAAUGGUGCCAGGCACCCAAUCCCAGAUUCAGUGGAGACAGUGAGGAACACAAAAUGAACAAAUAAACAAAGACCUGAGUUUGAAAUCUGACUCUGGUUUCUGUUUCUCCCACCCAAUAUUUUGUAAUCUCCAGUUAUGAUAAUAAUGUGAAAGUAAGACAGCAACUAACAUCUACUGAUUACUUACUAUAAGUACUAAGCAUCUGCAAACAUUAUCUUACUUAAUUCUGAAGGGGAGGAGAUUUUCCAUCCCCAAAUGUCUCUUUGGCAAGUGGAUUAUUUAAAACUGAAAACAAUUAAGGAGCAAAAGGCUCUGGAAGAAACUCUACCUAACCCCUAACUGCCUAAAGAAUUUAGGUAGAGGAAUUGUUCCCAGAAUAGAUGUCUGUGAGAAGGUGGGUUGGGUGGUGAGGGCACUCAAGGCAGGGCCUACAUAUCAGUCUACUCUAUCUACCAUCUCUGUA